Long non-coding RNA from Erigeron canadensis, 227 nucleotides. RefSeq lists it as uncharacterized. The transcript has 3 exons. NCBI's taxonomy places the organism in Eukaryota, Viridiplantae, Streptophyta, Magnoliopsida, Asterales, Asteraceae. The record is from RefSeq and is a predicted model, not a curated record.
GUAUUAUGAUGGAUCAAAUAGAAAUACAAAUCGUCCUCUGACAUAAAGAUUGAAUUUAUCAUAAAUCUGAAUAUCUAAAAACAAUAUUAAGGGCGAGCUAGCUAUCAUAUUCGAUGAGUUGCUUUGGAGGUUGUGGGUCCCAAGACGUGUUGCAGUUGCUUUACCGGCUUUCAAAGAAAGGCUGGUUUGGUUUGCACCCCAAUUGCAGGGCAUAAUCGACAUGAUUA